This 221-nucleotide long non-coding RNA is filed under the name Elaeis guineensis (African oil palm). RNAcentral's name for it is "long non-coding RNA (EGUI_LNC039533)". Lineage: Eukaryota; Viridiplantae; Streptophyta; Magnoliopsida; Arecales; Arecaceae. The record is from RNAcentral.
ACUUAUCUGACCAAUUUGGUGGAUUAUGUCUUGAUUAGACUGCCAAAUGAUUCGAGUUGACCCAUGCCAUUAAGGUUGAUCAGUAUGACUGAUCUAGGUGUCAGUUCGACCAGUAUGAUCUUAAUCUAAUUCAAUGACUUGGUGAAGUUAGUAGGAGGAUUAUGAUUUAUUGGUUGAUCUUUUCUCUUUUCUCAAUUCAUAAAUUAAAUUCUUUAAAUUAU